This 71-nucleotide transfer RNA is filed under the name Marmota monax (woodchuck). RNAcentral's name for it is "tRNA.Ala". It matches the Rfam family "tRNA". From Rfam's summary of the family: Transfer RNA (tRNA) molecules are approximately 80 nucleotides in length. Lineage: Eukaryota; Metazoa; Chordata; Mammalia; Rodentia; Sciuridae. The record is from RNAcentral.
GGGGUUGUGGCUCAGUGGUAGAGUACUCACCUAGCAUGUGCAAGGCCCUGGGUUCAAUCCUCAGCACCACA